AACGAACGCUGGCGGCAUGCCUAACACAUGCAAGUCGAACGAGACCUUCGGGUCUAGUGGCGCACGGGUGCGUAACGCGUGGGAACCUGCCCUUAGGUUCGGAAUAACUCCCCGAAAGGGGUGCUAAUACCGGAUAAUGUCUUCGGACCAAAGAUUUAUCGCCUUUGGAUGGGCCCGCGUUGGAUUAGCUAGUUGGUAGGGUAAAAGCCUACCAAGGCGACGAUCCAUAGCUGGUCUGAGAGGAUGAUCAGCCACACUGGGACUGAGACACGGCCCAGACCCCUACGGGGGGGAGGAGGGGGGAAUAUUGGACAAGGGGCGAAAGCCUGAUCCAGCAAUGCCGGGUGAGUGAUGAAGGCCUUAGGGUUGAAAAGCUUUUUUACCCGGGAUGAUAAUGACAGUACCGGGAGAAUAAGCCCCGGCUAACCCCGU
This 432-nucleotide ribosomal RNA is filed under the name uncultured bacterium. RNAcentral's name for it is "partial 16S ribosomal RNA". It matches the Rfam family "Bacterial small subunit ribosomal RNA", at positions 29 to 506 of the family's 1533-position model. The record is from RNAcentral.